Molecule: unclassified non-coding RNA, 403 nt
Filed under: soil metagenome
Description: partial contains 5.8S ribosomal RNA, internal transcribed spacer 2, and large subunit ribosomal RNA
Rfam family: 5.8S ribosomal RNA (bases 1-120)
Source: RNAcentral
GAUGAAGAACGUAGCGAAAUGCGAUAAGUAAUGUGAAUUGCAGAAUUCAGUGAAUCAUCGAAUCUUUGAACGCACCUUGCGCCCUUUGGGCUUCUGAAGGGCAUGCCUGUUUGAGUAUCAUGAACACCUCAACUCCUUAUGGUCUUCCAUGAUGAGCUUGGACUUUGGGGGUUUUGCUGGCCUACAGUCAGCUCCUCUAAAAUAAAUCAGCUUACCGGUGUUUGGUGGGUAUCAUGGGUGUGAUAACUAUCUACGCUCGUGGUUUUCCACCAGGUAACCUUCAGCAGUGGAGGUUCACUGGAGCUCAUAGAUGUCUCUCCUCAGCGAGGACAGCCCUUUGAAUGUUUGAUCUCAAAUCAGGUAGGACUACCCGCUGAACUUAAGCAUAUCAAUAAGCGGAGGA